Long non-coding RNA from Nematolebias whitei (Rio pearlfish), 136 nucleotides. RefSeq lists it as uncharacterized. NCBI's taxonomy places the organism in Eukaryota, Metazoa, Chordata, Actinopteri, Cyprinodontiformes, Rivulidae. The record is from RefSeq and is a predicted model, not a curated record. The transcript is spliced from 3 exons.
GGAGGCUACCCGUACGGCGCUCAGCAGAUCAGCCUCGGUGCUGAAGGUGCCAAAACCGCCAGCAAAUAUGGAGCUGCUGCGGGAUAUGGAGCUCCAACAGGUUUUGGUGCACAGCUCGGAGCGACUCAAGAUGCCC